GAUGUCCGACCCCGACGAAGUAGCUUCCGCUUGUUGUUUUAUCUUCUGUGAUUUUUCUUUCAAACCUUGUAAACUCUGAUGAUGUUUUAUAACCAAACUAGAUGGUUAAAUUGCUUAAUUUAGUGGACUUGCUGUAUUCUCUGGAACCGCUCACCUUCGUGUGGGUUCGCUAUUCGGUCCUGUUCAAGUGGUUAAAUCGGAUGAAAUCCGACGACCCUUCGUGUUUACUUGGUUAAGGCAUGAGUGUCGC
RNAcentral lists this long non-coding RNA (250 nucleotides) under Setaria italica (foxtail millet). RNAcentral describes it as "long non-coding RNA (SITA_LNC004038)". Lineage: Eukaryota; Viridiplantae; Streptophyta; Magnoliopsida; Poales; Poaceae. The record is from RNAcentral.